Molecule: microRNA precursor, 101 nt
Filed under: Oikopleura dioica
Lineage: Eukaryota; Metazoa; Chordata; Appendicularia; Copelata; Oikopleuridae
Description: microRNA odi-mir-1492 precursor
Source: miRBase by way of RNAcentral
CUAAUUAUGAGCAGAUCAGGCAGGACGUGGUUUUGUGCGAAACCGGCGAAAUCUGAGUUUGAUGGUAUUGCACAUACCCGGCCUUGCUGAUCUUGCUUUCA